CUGCUCUGCACUACGCUGUGUAUAAUGAAGAUACAUCCAUGAUAGAAAAACUUCUUUCAUAUGGUGCAAAUAUUGAAGAAUGAGGAUGAAUAUCCGCCACUGUUCCUUGCUGUGAGUCAAAGAAAAGUGAAAAUGGUGGAAUUUUUAUUAAAGAAAAAAGCAAAUAUAAAUGCCGUUGAUUAUCUUGGCAGAUCAGCCCUCAUACAUGCUGUUACUCUUGGAGAAAAAGCAUUUUUGAACUAAUUUAUGAAUAUGAAAGAAAGAAACAUGAAGAGCUUUCUAUAAAUAGCAA
This 292-nucleotide long non-coding RNA is filed under the name Homo sapiens (human). RNAcentral's name for it is "non-protein coding lnc-GPAT2-3:1". The record is from RNAcentral. Lineage: Eukaryota; Metazoa; Chordata; Mammalia; Primates; Hominidae.